UUUCAUUAAAAUAUAAGGGUAUUUUGGUAUUAAUAAACAAAAUUUAAUGGACAAGUUGUGUAAUAGGCAAACAAUUAAGAGGUAAAUAAUAUUUAACCGGAUCUAUUUAAUGAUUGUUUAACUAAAAUUUCAAUGAUUUGCCUUUUUAAUAUAAAUUUACAAAUUAAAAAUUAGAAAAAAAAUAUAAUUUUUAAAUAUAAAAAAGUAACUAGUAUAAAAUGAAAAAAUAUAAAAAAAAAUAGUAAUUACCCCUUUUAUAUCAUUUGUAGUAAUUUUUCAUUAUUUUACAUCAUUUCUUUGUAGUUUUACAUUAUCUAUUAGGAUUUACAUACAACAUCUCAACUUCACAAUAUUCUUAUAUAGAAAACUUCAGAAAUGAUAUCAGUAAAGGUGGCACCAAAGUUUGUUGUUUAGCUUUGCUUGUUCGAACAUUUUGUCACGCACUCAGGCUUGCAAAGAAAUUUAGGUUUAUGAGGUAUGCAUGACGCAAAACAAGGAUUAAAACAAGCUUCAUCAGCAUCAAUUGUAGGAGUAGUAUAUGACCCAAGUUUCCAUCCUUCUGCAACCUCAGUGGAUGCAACCAGCAUGAUAAUAAGGAUUGUAGCAAUGGAAAUUUUGCUUGGGCUCAUUUUUUAUGAUUUUCCUAUGUUC
This 651-nucleotide long non-coding RNA is filed under the name Ricinus communis (castor bean). RNAcentral's name for it is "long non-coding RNA (RCOM_LNC002302)". The record is from RNAcentral. Lineage: Eukaryota; Viridiplantae; Streptophyta; Magnoliopsida; Malpighiales; Euphorbiaceae.